UUUUAGGAAUUGAAUUCCGCCUGUCUUUCUUGUCAAUGACAUUCUCAAAGUACAUAGAUGAUGGAGUGUUCUGUUUCAUUCCGGGAAAAGUACUAGAUGAAUGCUACAGACUGCUCAGGGAAAUUGUGGUGCACAAAAAUCUUUCGUGCACUAAGUCAUACGAACACUACAUACUUAAUUGUACACAUAUAACACUACCAUACUUAAUUGCCGAACCAAAAUUAAUACAGGUCAAAAACAAUAAUAGGUUAGUCACAAUUUUGUGGUUACUAUUGAUCUUGCUAGGCGGACAUGCUUUAUUUAUUCUGAACAUGAUUUUUUCUACAAAUAUUGCAUUGACAGACAAAAAAAGCUACGGGAAUAUAAUCAAGGCCAUGGGUAAUCUUCAGAAUUUUUGCUGCAACUUUGGGGAAGGAAGUCACACGAAAAGAUUCAGGGCACAUACCAGCAUGUGUUGUAUUUUUCUAGAUGUUUUACUGGAGCAGUAGAUUCAACAUGACUGUUUGAUGCCAAAGUUAGUUGGAACUCUAACUCUAACACCGAUAACUGUUGCUGAUGCUGCCUUACAGCCACAGGCAGGAAAAUUGUUCUUUUCUUCAGAAAAUUGUGGCUUAAAUGGAUUGUCCCCCAGCCACCAGGUGACGCGAGUGUCUUCGUGAGGAUGAAAUAUUUGCCAUUUUUUCCCGAGACGCUGACUGAAAGUGUAUUCCAAAUUCAUUACGGAAUUGCGGUGUCGAUCUACAUUUUCAGCCAUGAAAUGGCUAUCUGGGAUAUAAUUUCACUUGGCCAAAUAAUGUGACGACUUGGGUCGAAACUGCUGUCCAAUGUCGGCCAUUGUUAGCUGUACGUCUUGGCUGUACGUCUCAUCUUGUGCAGAAACACUUCAGACCUAUUGAUGUUAAGGUUGGAGAUAGAGAUCCCUUUGCUCAACUGUUGCAGAAAUUGAGAACACGACAAAGUCUGAGCUUCAUGACUGUUGUAUCAUCAACAUGGUUUUGUUACAGCCAGCUGGGGAAAGAUGUGAUCGAGUCAAGUUGAGCUGCAGCUGCUGCAUGCAGUUUAUCGAGCUGGUGUUAUCCCAAGUGUCACUGCAGGAAGACUCAUUGAAUUGGAGUUAAUGGUCAAUUUGAUGUUUGAGCUGUUUAUGGUGUGGCUGUUUGGUGUACAGUGGUUUUGCAGCCCCCUUCCAGAUGAGAGAUGCUCUGAAAUGGAGUUUGGUGCAGACUUGCAGGUCAACAUCACACUUAAAUCGACUUAAAUGUGUAUUUGCCUAUGUUGGUGUCCAUGCAGUAUAUGCAGUGUUGAACGGUUGGGUAAAAUAGUUCAUGCUGCCUGAUGGCUGUCCAACAGUGACGGCCCGGACAAUCCUGAAUCCUUUAGGGUUGCCAUUCCAUCGAGGCUUAAACGAGGAUGAAGCGGAGGUGUUGCCCAUUGAGGGGUUUUGGUGACAAGGAGUCACUGAACGAAGCGCUAAACCAAAUGAAAAAAAAAAUAAUAAAAAAGACCCAUCCCCGGCAAAGUCA
This is an RNA transcript of Daphnia pulicaria, 1523 nucleotides long. RefSeq lists it as uncharacterized. The transcript is spliced from 10 exons. Lineage: Eukaryota; Metazoa; Arthropoda; Branchiopoda; Diplostraca; Daphniidae. The record is from RefSeq and is a predicted model, not a curated record.